AUUGAACUGAAGAGUUUGAUCCUGGCUCAGAUUGAACGCUGGCGGCAUGCCUUACACAUGCAAGUCGAACGGCAGCACGGGCUUCGGCCUGGUGGCGAGUGGCGAACGGGUGAGUAAUACAUCGGAACAUGUCCUGUAGUGGGGGAUAGCCCGGCGAAAGCCGGAUUAAUACCGCAUACGAUCUGAGGAUGAAAGC
This 196-nucleotide ribosomal RNA is filed under the name Burkholderia pseudomallei. RNAcentral's name for it is "partial 16S ribosomal RNA". It matches the Rfam family "Bacterial small subunit ribosomal RNA", at positions 1 to 207 of the family's 1533-position model. The record is from RNAcentral. Lineage: Bacteria; Pseudomonadati; Pseudomonadota; Betaproteobacteria; Burkholderiales; Burkholderiaceae.